RNAcentral lists this ribosomal RNA (815 nucleotides) under uncultured bacterium. RNAcentral describes it as "bacterial SSU rRNA". It matches the Rfam family "Bacterial small subunit ribosomal RNA", at positions 40 to 836 of the family's 1533-position model. The record is from RNAcentral.
CUUCAGGCCUAACACAUGCAAGUCGAACGCGAAAGUGGAGCAAUCCAUGAGUAGAGUGGCGAACGGGUGAGUAACGCGUGGGUGACCUACCUUCGAGUGGGGGAUAACGUCCCGAAAGGGACGCUAAUACCGCAUAACAUCCCGCCUUUGAACAGGUGGAGAUCAAAGCUGGGGAUCGCAAGACCUGGCGUUUGGAGAGGGGCCCGCGUCUGAUUAGCUAGUUGGUGAGGUAACGGCCCACCAAGGCGACGAUCAGUAUCCGGCCUGAGAGGGCGGACGGACACACUGGGACUGAGACACGGCCCAGACUCCUACGGGAGGCAGCAGUGGGGAAUUGUUCGCAAUGGGCGCAAGCCUGACGACGCAACGCCGCGUGGAGGAUGAAGGUCUUCGGAUUGUAAACUCCUGUUGCCAGGGACGAAAAGCUCUGACCUAACACGUCGGAGUCUGACGGUACCUGGUGAGGAAGCCCCGGCUAACUCUGUGCCAGCAGCCGCGGUAAUACAGAGGGGGCUAGCGUUGUUCGGAAUUACUGGGCGUAAAGGGCGCGUAGGCGGCCCGCUAAGUCGAACGUGAAAUCCCCGGGCUCAACCCGGGAACUGCGUCCGAUACUGGCAGGCUUGAAUCCGGGAGAGGGAUGUGGAAUUCCAGGUGUAGCGGUGAAAUGCGUAGAUAUCUGGAGGAACACCGGUGGCGAAGGCGGCAUCCUGGACCGGUAUUGACGCUGAGGCGCGAAAGCCAGGGGAGCAAACGGGAUUAGAUACCCCGGUAGUCCUGGCCCUAAACGAUGAAUGCUUGGUGUGGCGGGUAUCGAU